CCUACGGGAGGCAGCAGUGGGGAAUAUUGCACAAUGGGGGAAACCCUGAUGCAGCGACGCCGCGUGAGUGAAGAAGUAUUUCGGUAUGGAAAGCUCUAUCAGCAGGGGAGAAAAUGACUGUACCUGAUUAAGAAGCCCCGGCUAACUACGUUCCAGCAGCCGCGGCAAUACGUGGGGGGCAAGCGUUAUCCGGAUUUACUGGGUGUAAGGGGUGCGUAGGCGGGCUGUUAAGUCAGCGGUAAAAGCUCGGGGCCCAACCCCGGCGAGCCGUUGAAACUGGCUGUCUUGAGAUGUCGAGAGGUAUGCGGAAUGCGCAGUGUAGCGGUGAAAUGCUUAGAUAUUGCGCAGAACUCCGAUUGCGAAGGCAGCAUACCGGCGGCGAUCUGACGCUGAGGCACGAAAGCGUGGGUAUCGAACAGGAUUAGAUACCCCUGUAGUC
Molecule: ribosomal RNA, 439 nt
Filed under: uncultured bacterium
Lineage: Bacteria
Description: partial 16S ribosomal RNA
Rfam family: Bacterial small subunit ribosomal RNA
Source: RNAcentral